UUUUUUUUUUUUUUUGUGGCAAUGCUGUAAGUGUGCAGUAUGGGUGCAGACUUUCUCAGUCCUGCCUGGGAUAGUCAUCUUCUUGAUACAGCGUGCUAUCCUUGGGAGGUUCCAGCUCUCAGAAGACUAGCGUGGAAAUGCUGUGGCCGAGUGUCUUCGUUGCAUUUAAUUUUCAGGGCAACUCAGCUGGGCUCACCCUAUCUUAAUAGGGAACCUGCAGUCUGAAUUUCAAGCAUGCUUCCUUUGAGAAUUCACAGAAAACUGCAACCCAAAGGUGAAAAUAUGUUGUGUGCCAGAAGAUUGCCUCAAUCUGCCAGUCAUGCUUUACCAAAGCACUCCACAGCCUAUCUGGUGUGGGAGAGCAGGAGAGAUGUUCCCAGCAAACAGCAGCACAAACUGAUGGCCCUGGAGUUCUACUGACAGUGCUUCCAAACACUUAUGGCUGUGAGGACAAAAGGAAUGAACGAGCUGCCUUCAGAUUAUGCUAAGCAACAGAAGCAGAGGUGCACGUUGAUUUUGGGAGCAGAAGGAUUUCCCACGUUGCUAGUGAAGUGUCUGUUUAAAGGUAACACCUU
RNAcentral lists this long non-coding RNA (575 nucleotides) under Gallus gallus (chicken). RNAcentral describes it as "lncRNA (ENSGALG00010004905.1)". The record is from RNAcentral. Lineage: Eukaryota; Metazoa; Chordata; Aves; Galliformes; Phasianidae.